CCUGAUUAACCAUAAGAGGUCAAGCCUGCCCAGUGACAUUUGUUUAACGGCCGCGGUAUCCUAACCGUGCGAAGGUAGCGUAAUCACUUGUCCUUUAAAUGAGGACUAGUAUGAACGGCUUCACGAAGGCUAUGCUGUCUCCUUUAUCUAAUCAGUUAAACUAAUCUCCCCGUGAAGAAGCGGGGAUACACCUAUAAGACGAGAAGACCCUAUGGAGCUUUAAAUACUUUAAAACACCUGAAUCUGACACUAGAAACUUCCAGAAAACUUUAUUUAACAUAUCACUUUGUUUUAAACUUUAGGUUGGGGUGACCACGGAGAAAAAACCAACCUCCACGUAGAAUGAAAUUUUCUUUCUAAGCGAUAAGCUACAUCUUUAUGCAUCAAUACAUUGACCUAAAUUGACCCAAUUUUUUGAUCAACGAAC
This 427-nucleotide ribosomal RNA is filed under the name Allobates kingsburyi. RNAcentral describes it as "partial large subunit ribosomal RNA". It matches the Rfam family "Bacterial large subunit ribosomal RNA", at positions 1834 to 2381 of the family's 2925-position model. The record is from RNAcentral. Lineage: Eukaryota; Metazoa; Chordata; Amphibia; Anura; Aromobatidae.